RNAcentral lists this ribosomal RNA (825 nucleotides) under Triticum aestivum (bread wheat). RNAcentral's name for it is "partial small subunit ribosomal RNA". Lineage: Eukaryota; Viridiplantae; Streptophyta; Magnoliopsida; Poales; Poaceae. The record is from RNAcentral.
AUGAAUGAUUCUUCUUGGAAAGUAGAUACUGGCCACAAGUCUGGAUAUCUGACCUACAUUGAGAAGGAAAUGGCUAAAGUGCUGCCACAUGCCGAUCUUAAAGCAGAUCCACAUAUCAGGUCUAAAGUUAAGAUUUUGAAGAAGCAACUUUCGUAUGUUCUGGAAAUUAUGCAAAAUGGUAGUGGGUUUGGAUGGGAUGAUGAAAAGAAGAUGGUAACUGGAGAUAGGGAGACAUAUAUGGGUUGGGCAAAGUCUCGUGAGGGAGCAGGUCCUCUGUACAUGAAGCCUAUGGUUAACUUUGACAAGCUAUAUGAGGUAUAUGCUACUGAUUUAGCUAAAGGAGGGAGUGCUAAAGGUCCGGGUGAAGAAGAAAUUGUAGAAGAUGGAUCAACAGUAGAUGCACAACUUACUAGCAAACCAGCCAAGGAGAAUAUUCCUGAAUUAAAUGAGGAUACAAGCCCAUCCGGUGGUUCUAGGCAUGGUCGUAAGAGAACAUACCCUGAUGAUGAUGCACUUGAGUCAGGUCUUGCAAGUGUGUCGAAUACAAUUGCAAAGUUUUUGGAAGCUGAGCAGGAGAAUGCUAAAACCAUGAAUGGUUUACAGAGAGCAUUUAUGCAUGAAUCGCAAAUUCAUGAGCAAACAUCGGCCAAUAGAACCAAGUUACUUGAUAUUCUCCAGAAUCUUAAGGGUCUCAUAACCGAAGAGGUUGUAAUGGCUAUCCGUGUCAUUGGUGGUGAUGCUGGAAAGACAGAACUUUUCAUCAAUUUGCGUGAUGAUUACAAAGUGGUGUUUGUUCGUCAGGAGCUCGACGCGGCCAAAAAAUAA